UUAGUUCGCCCCCCCGAAACUAAGCGAGCUACUUCAAAACAGCUUUAAGAGCCAACCCGUCUCUGUGGCAAUAGAGUGGGAAGAUUUUCUAGUAGAGGUGACAAACCUACCGAGCUUAGAAAUAGCUGGUUACUCAGGAAAAGAAUUUUAGUUCUGCCUUAAAUCUCCCACCGCGUCAUAGAACAAGCCAAAGAUUUAAGAGUUACUCAAUUAAGGCACAGCUUACUUGAAACAGGAUACAACCUAAACAAGGGGGUAAAAGCCCGCCACCAUGCACAGUAGGCCUAAGAGCAGCCACCUCUAAAAAGCGUCAAAGCUUAAUAUAACAUUCCCCUUCCUCCCACUAAUAGCCAUGAACCCCUACCCCCCACUGAGUGAUACUAUAAGCAUAUAGUAAGCACCAUGCUAGGACUAGUAACAAGAAUACACAAUUCUCCGAAAUGUGAAUAUAAGCCAGAAUGAACACCUCACCGGCAGCUAACGGAAAUGAGUCAACUACAGCAACAUCAACAAGAAAACCCUGUAAUUACCCCCCGUUAACCUAACACCAGAACAUUCCAGGAAAGAUUAACAGAGGGGGAAGGAACUCGGCAAACCCCAACCCCGCCUGUUUACCAAAAACAUCGCCUCUUGACCACAUAAGAGGUCUAGCCUGCCCAGUGAAAAUUCAACGGCCGCGGUACCCUAACCGUGCAAAGGUAGCAUAAUCACUUGUUCUUUAAAUGGGGACUCGUAUCAACGGCAUCACGAGGGUUGCACUGUCUCCCCCCUCUAAUCAGUGAAACUGAUCUCCCCGUGAAGAAGCGGGGGUACAACUAUAAGACGAGAAGACCCCAUGGAGCUUAAAACCUACAGCAACUCAACUCCCUCCACCCCCCCACAGCCCAAAGAAACAUGCGUGACGGUUUUAGGUUGGGGCGACCGCGGAGUAAAAACCAACCUCCACGACGAAAAGAACUAAAUCUUUAUCCCAGAGCCACCUCUCCAAGAAUUAGCACACUAACGAACAUGACCCGACUAUCGAUCAACGAACCAAGUUACCCUGGGGAUAACAGCGCAAUCUACUUCAAGAGCCCCUAUCGACAAGUAGGCUUACGACCUCGAUGUUGGAUCAGGGUACCCCAGAGG
This 1128-nucleotide unclassified non-coding RNA is filed under the name Theloderma khoii. RNAcentral describes it as "partial contains 12S ribosomal RNA, tRNA-Val, and 16S ribosomal RNA". It matches the Rfam family "Bacterial large subunit ribosomal RNA", at positions 702 to 2553 of the family's 2925-position model. Lineage: Eukaryota; Metazoa; Chordata; Amphibia; Anura; Rhacophoridae. The record is from RNAcentral.